AUUUACUUUUGAUAUUUAGUACUAUUUCUUUACUUUAAAAUUAUGGUAAUAUUUACGUACCUGUAUUUUACAGUACUUGAUUUGUACUUAAAAUUUUAGUACAGAAAUAAUUCCAAAAGCGAUCCCAAUAUUACAUGUUUGAAAAUCAUAAUUCUAAGAGAUUUGAAAUAGAUAUGCUUUCAAAAUGCUGAAAAUAUCACGUUGCAACCAAAUAUAUGUAGUAUUAAAUUUUCAAGUACAAAUUAAGUACUGUAAAAUACAGGUAUCUAAAUAUUACAAUAAUUUUAAAGUAACAAAAUAGUACUGAAUAUUAAAUGUAGAUUUUCAGUACUGCAGAUUUUUGGUACAAAAAUAGUACCUACGCAAAAGUAGCUGUGUAAGAAGUAGGUCAACUUUAUAUGGUAAUGACAUGAAUUAAAGAUGUGCAAGUCAGUUUUGUAGGUUUCUUCCUACACUGACCUGAUUUUCAUGCUUUAUUGAUCAAUGUUCAGUUUUUGAGUUUUGAUGUAUGGAAUGAUUUGUUCAUGUCUGUCUGACUUGCCAAUAUCACUUCUUUGAUGACAAUUUACAUGGUUUUUUGUCAAUAUUUCAGAAGUUUGGCACUCUUUUCAGAUACUAUAUUAAAGCAAAAGGUCAGAUAUUGUCUCUCA
RNAcentral lists this long non-coding RNA (650 nucleotides) under Mytilus galloprovincialis (Mediterranean mussel). The record is from RNAcentral. Lineage: Eukaryota; Metazoa; Mollusca; Bivalvia; Mytilida; Mytilidae.